GGUAUACUAAUAUAACAUGUCGGUGGCUACCCCCAGCGGGGUACCAUCAUCGUGUUGUUAGGUUAUGUCCUUUGCUUUUUUUUUAUUAUUUAUUUCUUUAAAUUUUUACAAUUUGUCCAGUAGGACAUUUGGUAAAAUAUUAUAGCGGUAUACUAAUAUAACAUGUCGGUGGCUACCCCCAGCGGGGUACCAUCAUCGUGUUGUUAGGUUAUGUCCUUUGCUUUUUUUUUAUUAUUUAUUUCUUUAAAUUUUUACAAUUUGUCCAGUAGGACAUUUGGUAAAAUAUUAUAGCGGUAUACUAAUAUAACAUGUCGGUGGCUACCCCCAGCGGGGUACCAUCAUCGUGUUGUUAGGUUAUGUCCUUUGCUUUUUUUUUUAUUAUUUAUUUCUUUAAAUUUUUACAAUUUGUCCAGUAGGACAUUUGGUAAAAUAUUAUAGCGGUAUACUAAUAUAACAUGUCGGUGGCUACCCCCAGCGGGGUACCAUCAUCGUGUUUGUUAGGUUAUGUCCUUUGUUUUUGUUUUUUUUUAAUUAUUUAUUUAUUUAAAUUUUUACAAUUUGUCCAGUAGGACAUUUGGUAAAAUAUUAUAGCGGUAUACUAAUAUAACAUGUCGGUGGCUACUCCCAGCGGGGUACUAUCAUCGUGUUGUUAGGUUAUGUCCUUUGCUUUUUUUUUAUUAUUUAUUUCUUUAAAUUUUUACAAUUUGUCCAGUAGGACAUUUGGUAAAAUAUUAUAGCGGUAUACUAAUAUAACA
Bombus huntii is the source of this 755-nucleotide long non-coding RNA. RefSeq lists it as uncharacterized. The record is from RefSeq and is a predicted model, not a curated record. The transcript is spliced from 4 exons. Lineage: Eukaryota; Metazoa; Arthropoda; Insecta; Hymenoptera; Apidae.